RNAcentral lists this ribosomal RNA (253 nucleotides) under uncultured bacterium. Its description in RNAcentral is "partial 16S ribosomal RNA". It matches the Rfam family "Bacterial small subunit ribosomal RNA", at positions 524 to 776 of the family's 1533-position model. The record is from RNAcentral.
UACGUAGGGGGCAAGCGUUGUCCGGAUUUAUUGGGCGUAAAGAGCGUGUAGGCGGCCAUGCAGGUCAGCUGUGAAAACUCGAGGCUCAACCUCGAGACGUCGGUUGAAACCGCAUGGCUAGAGUCCGGAAGAGGAGUGUGGAAUUCCCGGUGUAGCGGUGGAAUGCGCAGAUAUCGGGAGGAACACCCGUGGCGAAGGCGGCACUCUGGGACGGUACUGACGCUGAGACGCGAAAGCGUGGGGAGCAAACAGG